RNAcentral lists this ribosomal RNA (494 nucleotides) under uncultured bacterium. Its description in RNAcentral is "partial 16S ribosomal RNA". It matches the Rfam family "Bacterial small subunit ribosomal RNA", at positions 28 to 507 of the family's 1533-position model. The record is from RNAcentral.
GACGAACGCUGGCGGCGUGCUUAACACAUGCAAGUCGAACGGAAAGGCCUGCUUUCCCUUGUGGAUUGCGGGUACUCGAGUGGCGAACGGGUGAGUAACACGUGAGUGAUCUGCCCCCAACUUGGGUAUAAGCCUGGGAAACUGGGUCUAAUUCCCGAUAGGACUGCAGGGUGGGGCCUGUGGUGGAAAACGAUUUUCUAGUGGUUGGGGAUGAGCUCGCGGCGUAUCAGCUUGUUGGUGGGGUAAUGGCCUACCAAGGCGGCGACGGGUAGCCGGCCUGGGAGGGUGGACGGGAGCAUUGGGCCUGAGAUACGGCCCAGGCUCCUACGGCAGGCAGCAGUGGGGAAUAUUGCACAGUGGGCGGAAGCCUGAUGCAGCGACGCCGCGUGGGGGAUGCCGGCCUUCGGGUUGUAAACUCCUUUCGACAGCGAGGAAGCCACCUGGAUGGAAGGGUGGUGACGGUAGUGGUAGAAGAAGCACCGGCUAACUACGUG